RNAcentral lists this ribosomal RNA (197 nucleotides) under uncultured bacterium. RNAcentral's name for it is "partial 16S ribosomal RNA". It matches the Rfam family "Bacterial small subunit ribosomal RNA", at positions 335 to 524 of the family's 1533-position model. The record is from RNAcentral.
ACUCCUACGGGAGGCAGCAGUAGGGAAUCUUCCACAAUGGGCGCAAGCCUGAUGGAGCAACGCCGCGUGAAUGAAGAAGGUCUUCGGAUCGUAAAAUUCUGUUGUUAGAGAAGAAUAUGAGUAAUAGUAACUGAUUAUUCACUGACGGUAUCUAACCAGCAAGUCACGGCUAACUCCGUGCCAGCAGCCGCGGUAAU